GAGUUUGAUCGUGGCUCAGAUUGAACGCUGGCGGCAGGCCCUAACACAUGCCAAGUCGAGCGGAUGACGGGAGCUUGCUCCUUGAUUCAGCGGCGGACGGGUGAGUAAUGCCUAGGAAUCUGGCCUGGUAGUGGGGGACAACGUUUCGAAAGGAACCGCUAAUACCGCAUACGUCCUACGGGAGAAAGCAGGGGACCUUCGGGCCUUGCGCUAUCAGAUGAGCCUAGGUCGGAUUAGCUAGUUGGUGGGGUAAUGGCUCACCAAGGCGACGAUCCGUAACUGGUCUGAGAGGAUGACCAGUCACACUGGAACUGAGACACGGUCCAGACUCCUACGGGAGGCAGCAGUGGGGAAUAUUGGACAAUCGGGGGCAACCCUGAUCCAGCCAUGCCGCGUGAGUG
This 401-nucleotide ribosomal RNA is filed under the name bacterium enrichment culture clone ALO1_GLFRUDD03FM7RJ. RNAcentral's name for it is "bacterial SSU rRNA". It matches the Rfam family "Bacterial small subunit ribosomal RNA", at positions 9 to 407 of the family's 1533-position model. The record is from RNAcentral.